This 301-nucleotide ribosomal RNA is filed under the name uncultured bacterium. RNAcentral's name for it is "partial 16S ribosomal RNA". It matches the Rfam family "Bacterial small subunit ribosomal RNA", at positions 509 to 809 of the family's 1533-position model. The record is from RNAcentral.
CAGUAGCCGCGGUAAUACGGAGGAUCCGAGCGUUAUCCGGAAUUAUUGGGUUUAAAGGGUGCGUAGGCGGAUAGAUAAGUCAGUGGUGAAAGACGGUGGCUCAACCAUCGCAGUGCCGUUGAUACUGUUUAUCUUGAAUAUGGAUGAGGUAGGCGGAAUGUGGCAAGUAGCGGUGAAAUGCAUAGAUAUGCCACAGAACACCGAUUGCGAAGGCAGCUUACCAAGGCAAAAUUGACGCUGAGGCACGAAAGCGUGGGGAUCGAACAGGAUUAGAUACCCCCGUAGUCCCUGUCUCUUAUAU